UUGCUAGAACUUAGAGACAGGUGCUGCACGGCUGUCGUCAGCUCGUGUCGUGAGAUGUUGGGUUAAGUCCCGCAACGAGCGCAACCCACGUAUUUAGUUGCUAACGGUUCGGCCGAGCACUCUAAAUAGACUGCCUUCGUAAGGAGGAGGAAGGUGUGGACGACGUCAAGUCAUCAUGGCCCUUAUGCCCAGGGCGACACACGUGCUACAAUGGCAUAUACAAUGAGACGCAAUACCGCGAGGUGGAGCAAAUCUAUAAAAUAUGUCCCAGUUCGGAUUGUUCUCUGCAACUCGAGAGCAUGAAGCCGGAAUCGCUAGUAAUCGUAGAUCAGCCAUGCUACGGUGAAUACGUUCCCGGGUCUUGUACUCACCGCCCGUCACACCAUGGGAGUUGAUUUCACUCGAAGCCGGAAUACUAAACUAGUUACCGUCCACAGUGGAAUCAGCGACUGGGGUGAAGUCGUAACAAGGUAACCGUAGGAGAACCUGCGGUUGGAUCACCUCCUUUCUAG
Molecule: ribosomal RNA, 512 nt
Filed under: Campylobacter coli
Lineage: Bacteria; Pseudomonadati; Campylobacterota; Epsilonproteobacteria; Campylobacterales; Campylobacteraceae
Also listed under: 1 other name
Description: bacterial SSU rRNA
Rfam family: Bacterial small subunit ribosomal RNA
Source: RNAcentral